Molecule: long non-coding RNA, 1271 nt
Organism: Oreochromis aureus
Lineage: Eukaryota; Metazoa; Chordata; Actinopteri; Cichliformes; Cichlidae
Exons: 6
Source: RefSeq, a predicted model, not a curated record
UUAAUGGUGCGCACAAAAAAAAAGAAAGAAAAAAAAAACCCCAAAACAAACUAAAUCUACUAAAACAGAAUUUUGUAUCAGUUUCUGUAUCAGUUUAUUUCUGCUGUUAUGUAAUAUAUAGCAUUUAUUAUAGCUGUCUAUGGAGACUGACUUCAGCUUUCAGUCACCUCUUCUGUGGAACCAGUUUUGGGAGACAGACACGCUCUAUACUUUUUUAAACAUUAGGCUUCUUUGUUGACAACGCCCACCUGUGCCCUCUGCCUCUCACCAAGGACAAAGGGCUGGUCUCUUGGCCUUGCCUGGUCUCUCACCCAGGAUCAAUUUAUCAUUGGAGACCCUGCCAGGGGGAAAAAGGCCUCAAACAACGUAGCCACUGGGAUUCCUGGGACACCAUGAUAAGAAGCCACACAGGAAACACCCCUGCUCACUGCCUUUGCACUUCAGCCUUCAAUCUGCAGGAAGACAACUUGGAGGUGACAACUCUGUGCAUCAGAUGAUGGGAACAUAGACUCACAUAGCAAAACUAACAUGAGAACACCAACACCAGCACAUGCACCAUCAACAAUGUUUAUCCAGAUGACAGUGGGGAGUACUGGUGUCAGGCUGAUGGGAACAGAAGCAACAGUAUCAACAUCUCUGUCAUUGGUAACGAGAUGAAGAUUGACUGUCCUCUAGUCCCAUUCUCUACAGCUUUGGCCUCAGUGACACUCCACCACAAGGAGAAGCAGGAACCAGCACAAAGAUGUCCUCAGCAGGCAUCUUCCAGAGAGCUCACUGAUGAAUGAAUCACAUCUGUCUGUGAGAGUGAAUACAAACCCAAUUUAUCAUGCAUUGUUUUUGUAACCGAACAAGCUGUACAUUCUCAUGUGAUUUGGAUUAUAUGCAUGUCUAUAAAUUUUAUGAGUUGCCUGUAUUCAGUUAAAUACAGCAGUCAGGCAGACCUACAUGGCUGUAAGUACAUAAAAAGUUCAAAUGGUAAGAAGAGCAACCGUCUGUUAUUUAGAAGUUGAAUUUAAACCAACUUGUUCCAUCUGCUUUGUCUUUUAAAAGUUGUAUAAAUACCAUUACAUGAAAAAAGCUCAAAGUGGUCAACCACUAAUCUGAAAAUGUCACAAGUUUAUAGUCAGCUGUGAAAGACACGUGCAAAGUUUGAUACUGAGUAUGUCACUAACUGAACUGUGGUCUAGUACCCAGAAAGAAUAUCUGGUGUCUUGUUUCAUGCUGCAGCAAUAUUUGUUCAAUAUAGUCAAAGAAAAUGAAGUUGCUUUCUA